AUCCUUUUUUGGUUCAUAAGCGUGAUGAUUGUGUGUUCACACUGUUGCAUGACAUGUGCCACCUUCAAACCUCGUUACACAUCGGCACAUUACCCAUCUGACG
Small nucleolar RNA from Nannospalax galili (Upper Galilee mountains blind mole rat), 103 nucleotides. RefSeq annotates it as small nucleolar RNA U13. NCBI's taxonomy places the organism in Eukaryota, Metazoa, Chordata, Mammalia, Rodentia, Spalacidae. The record is from RefSeq and is a predicted model, not a curated record. The transcript has a single exon.